CCCUUAGAUGUUCUGGGCCGCACGCGCGCUACACUGAUGCAUUCAACGAGUCUAAAACCUGCUCUGAUAGGGGUGGGUAAUCUUUUGAAUGUGCAUCGUGAUUGGGAUAGAUGAUUGCAAUUUUUCAUCUUCAACGAGGAAUGUCUAGUAAACGCAAGUCAUCAGCUUGCAUUGAUUACGUCCCUGCCCUUUGUACACACCGCCCGUCGCUCCUACCGAUUGAAUGAUCCGAUGAAUAUCAUGGAUUGAGGAUGCAAGUAGGUUCGCCUAUCUUCAUCUUCGAGAAGUGAAGUAAAUCUUAUCAUUUAGAGGAAGGAGAAGUCGUAACA
This 329-nucleotide ribosomal RNA is filed under the name uncultured eukaryote. RNAcentral describes it as "partial 18S ribosomal RNA". It matches the Rfam family "Eukaryotic small subunit ribosomal RNA", at positions 1470 to 1796 of the family's 1831-position model. The record is from RNAcentral.